UAAACUCUAUUAUACUUCAUAUUACACUUAACAAUCCAGUAAGCAACCUACCAAUCAUACAGGCUACAAUUAGCAAAUUAGCAAAUUGAACUUUUUUCCAUUAAGCAAAAUCAUUCAUACAUCUAUCGCUUAAUUUGCACAUCACAUUCUUCUAAAAACCAAAAUGGUAUCAUUGUCUAAUACAAGCAAUAACUAGUAAGAAACAACAAAUUGAUAAGGACACAAUCAUUAUCAAUUUCAACAUUCCUAUUGUGCCUUCAAUCAAGUUCAUUGUCGCAUAUAGCUGCAAGAGGACCUCACUAUUGUUCUCUUCCAAACUUCCCUCACUAUUGUUCAUUCUUAGAGGAAACCCACUACUUGAGUCCACUCUUGCUUCUAGGCUUUGAUAGGUAGAUUCAUUGCCAAUUAGAUUGUUUCUUAUCAGAUUACACCAUAACGAAAAGAAGCGGGAAUUACUUUCACAAUCAUAAUACAACAUUUCUUUCAUGGGUUUAUCUAACUCGAUAGUCUUGAUUUUUGUUCUAUUUUUGCACAAGCACUAUCACUACUGGUACCUCAAAUCCCUUGAUCCUCCUCUAGAAUUUGCAUAAGUAGACAUGUUGUAUUUCAGAUCUCCUUCUUCCUUAUACCUCUGAAUUCUUCAUCUCUUUUCAUUUCAGGCAUUGAUUUUUCUUUCUUUCUAUCUCCAACGGCUGCAAUGGAGGCUAAAAAGCUCUUUUGCCCUAAUAUCUUUCUU
Molecule: long non-coding RNA, 736 nt
Filed under: Coffea arabica (coffee)
Lineage: Eukaryota; Viridiplantae; Streptophyta; Magnoliopsida; Gentianales; Rubiaceae
Description: long non-coding RNA (CARA_LNC005557)
Source: RNAcentral